AUCAGAUUAGAUGUUUCUCAGGGGACUUUCCAGCCCUGGCUGCUCCUGGAGGGAGUGAGCUCCCUAUCAACCAAAAUAUUCAAGUGGAGAGCAGGCAACCACUGGUGGGAUUCUAGCCUUUGAUGGACAUGUGAACUACGUAACCUUGAAGGUCCUUUCCAGACCUGAGUUGUCCUGAUUCUGGGAUUCUGGAGCCCAGAUGGGGCCUGUGAACUGUGCCAGGCAGCCAAGGAUGGUUAUGCAGGACAUCUGUUCCCUCCCCUGCAUCCCAGGGUCUUGCUAUGUGGACUAGGCUGAUCUUGAACUCCUGGCCUCAAGUCAUCCUACCGCUGUGGGCUCCUAAAGUGCGGGGAUUACAAGCAUGAGCCACCACACUGGCCUCAG
RNAcentral lists this long non-coding RNA (384 nucleotides) under Homo sapiens (human). RNAcentral describes it as "HSALNT0239541". The record is from RNAcentral. Lineage: Eukaryota; Metazoa; Chordata; Mammalia; Primates; Hominidae.